UUAAGUUCAGCGGGUAUCCCUACCUGAUCCGAGGUCAACCUGGUGGAGGAUUUAACGGCCGCGGCCGCCCGCGCCCCGGAGCGAUUAAUGAAAUCACAACGCUUGGAGGCGGACAGCUCAGCCGGAGACUUUGAGGCGCGCGGAACACCGCGGCGCCCAAGACCACGCCAGGCGUGAGUGGUGAAAUGACGCUCGAACAG
RNAcentral lists this unclassified non-coding RNA (200 nucleotides) under Sphaerulina sp. Its description in RNAcentral is "partial internal transcribed spacer 2". The record is from RNAcentral. Lineage: Eukaryota; Fungi; Ascomycota; Dothideomycetes; Mycosphaerellales; Mycosphaerellaceae.